Molecule: unclassified non-coding RNA, 647 nt
Filed under: uncultured Prochlorococcus sp.
Lineage: Bacteria; Bacillati; Cyanobacteriota; Cyanophyceae; Synechococcales; Prochlorococcaceae
Description: partial 16S-23S ribosomal RNA intergenic spacer; may also contain 16S ribosomal RNA and 23S ribosomal RNA
Rfam family: tRNA (bases 305-377)
Source: RNAcentral
UUGUGGAGGAGGACGCCGAAGGUGGGGCUAAUGACUGGGGUGAAGUCGUAACAAGGUAGCCGUACCGGAAGGUGCGGCUGGAUCACCUCCUAACAGGGAGACAACAAAAUGUUUAAUAUUAUUAUUUUGUCACCUUAGGUCGAUCGGUAUCUCACGUUCUUAAUUAAUUAAGAAUUUCAAUUUCUAAGUUUUUCUAGGUCACACCCAUUAUUUUUCCUGGGCCAUUAACUCAGGUGGUUAGAGCGCACCCCUGAUAAGGGUAAGGUCCCUGGUUCAAGUCCAGGAUGGCCCAUAUCUCUAUGUUGGGGGUAUAGCUCAGUUGGUAGAGCGCCUGCUUUGCAAGCAGGAUGUCAGCGGUUCGAGUCCGCUUACCUCCACUGAUUACCACCUCUUCCAUAAUUUAUAGAAGGGAAAUGUUUUGAGUUGUGAUCAAAUUCUGAACGAAUCUAGCUUCCUAAUGAAAUUAUUAAGAUGCUGGACUCAUUGAAUUAAUUUCAUUGUUUUCAGAGAACCUUGACAACUGCAUAGAUUAUUUUUUAAAGACAAUAAGCAUCUUUAGUGAUGCAGAUUUAUUAUUUGUGCGAAUGCAUUAAUAACAAUUCUAUUAAGCUGAUGCUUCAAUUUUGAAGUUAUUGGUCAAGCUACAA